This 936-nucleotide ribosomal RNA is filed under the name Macrobrachium sp. 2 PL-2021. RNAcentral's name for it is "SSU rRNA". It matches the Rfam family "Eukaryotic small subunit ribosomal RNA", at positions 411 to 1313 of the family's 1831-position model. Lineage: Eukaryota; Metazoa; Arthropoda; Malacostraca; Decapoda; Palaemonidae. The record is from RNAcentral.
CACAUCCAAGGAAGGCAGCAGGCACGCAAAUUACCCAAUCCCAGCUCUGGGAGGUAGUGACGAAAAAUAACAAUGCGGGACUCUUCCGAGUCUGCGUAAUUGGAAUGAGCACACUUUAAAUCCUUUAGCAACAACCAAUUGGAGGGCAAGUCUGGUGCCAGCAGCCGCGGUAAUUCCAGCUCCAAUAGCGUAUAUUAAAGUUGUUGCGGUUAAAAAGCUCGUAGUUCGAGUUCAGUUUCGGACUGGGGUGGGAGGUCACCGCCCGGUGCUUGCCCCCUAGGCUCCGAACAGCUUCCUAUAGUGGAAGCCAAGUCGGUUCUGGCGGGGUGCUCUUUACCGAGUGUCCCGUGCGGCCGGCCAGUUCACCUUGAAUAAAUGAGAGUGCUCAAAGCAGGCUACUCUGGAAUACAAUGCCCGAAUUUUGGUUGCAUGGAAUGAUGGAAGAUGAUCUCGGUUCCAUUUUGUUGGUGGUGGGAGCCAGAGGUAAUGAUAAAGAGGGACUGUCGGGGGCAUCCGUACUACGACGCGAGAGGUGAAAUUCAGUGACCGUCGUAGGACGAACAACAGCGAAAGCAUUUGCCAAGAAUGUCUUCGUUGAUCAAGAACGAAAGUUAGAGGAUCGAAGGCGAUCAGAUACCGCCCUAGUUCUAACCCUAAACGAUGCUGACUAGCAAUUCGCCGUCGUUAUUCCCAUGACGUGGCGAGACGCCCCCGGGAAACCUCAAGUUUUUGAGUUCCGGGGGUAGUAUGGUUGCAAAAGUGAAACUUAAAGGAAUUGACGGAAGGGCACCACCAGGAGUGGAGCCUGCGGCUUAAUUUGACUCAACACGGGAAAGCUCACCAGGCCCGGACACCAGAAGGAUUGACAGAUUAAGAGCUCUUUCUCGAUUUGGUGGGUGGUGGUGCAUGGCCGUUCUUAGUUGGUGGAGUGAUUUG